AGUGAACGCUGGCGGUAGGCCUAACACAUGCAAGUCGAACGGCAGCACAGUAAGAGCUUGCUCUUACGGGUGGCGAGUGGCGGACGGGUGAGGAAUACAUCGGAAUCUACUUUUUCGUGGGGGAUAACGUAGGGAAACUUACGCUAAUACCGCAUACGACCUACGGGUGAAAGCAGGGGAUCUUCGGACCUUGCGCGAUUGAAUGAGCCGAUGUCGGAUUAGCUAGUUGGCGGGGUAAAGGCCCACCAAGGCAACGAUCCGUAGCGGGGCUGAGAGGAUGAUCAGCACCAAUGGAAAUGAGACACGGUCCAGACUCCUACGGGAGGCAGAAGGGGGGAAUAUUGGACAAGGGGGGCAAGCCUGAUAAAGACAUACCGCGUGGGUGAAGAAGGCCUUCGGGUUGUAAAGCCCUUUUGUUGGGAAAGAAAAGCAGCAGGUUAAUACCCCGCUGUUCUGACGGUACCCAAAGAAUAAGCACCGGCUAACUUCGU
This 491-nucleotide ribosomal RNA is filed under the name uncultured bacterium. RNAcentral's name for it is "partial 16S ribosomal RNA". It matches the Rfam family "Bacterial small subunit ribosomal RNA", at positions 29 to 506 of the family's 1533-position model. The record is from RNAcentral.